RNAcentral lists this ribosomal RNA (405 nucleotides) under uncultured bacterium. RNAcentral's name for it is "partial 16S ribosomal RNA". It matches the Rfam family "Bacterial small subunit ribosomal RNA", at positions 30 to 526 of the family's 1533-position model. The record is from RNAcentral.
AUUGAACGCUGGCGGCAGGCCUAACACAUGCAAGUCGAACGAGUGGCGGACGGGUGAGUAAUGCUUGGGAAUCUAGCUUAUGGAGGGGGAUAACUACGGGAAACUGUAGCUAAUACCGUGUAUCAUAGGCUGAGCCCAAGUGGGAUUAGGUAGUUGGUAAGGUAAAGGCGCACAAAGCUGAAGAUUUCUAGCUGGUCUGAGAGGAUGACCAGCCACACGGGGACUGAGACACGGCCCAGACGCCUACGGUGGGCAGCAGUGGGGAAUAUUGCGCAAUGGGGGCAACCUGACGCAGCCAUGCCGCGUGAAUGAAGAAGACCUUCGGGUUGUAAAGUUCUUUCGGUAGCGAGGCGUUAACAACAGAAGAAGCACCGGCUAACUCCGUGCCAGCAGCAGCGGUAAUAC